AUGAACGCUAGCGACAGGCCUAACACAUGCAAGUCGAGGGGCAGCACAAGGAGCAAUCUGAGGUGGCGACCGGCGCACGGGUGAGUAACACGUAUGCAACCUGCCUGUAAGCGGGGAAUAACCCGUUGAAAGACGGACUAAUACCGCAUAAUACUAAAUUACUGCAUGGUAAUUUAUUUAAACAUUUAUGGCUUACAGAUGGGCAUGCGCAUGAUUAGCUAGUUGGAGAGGUAACGGCUCCCCAAGGCAACGAUCAUUAGGGGUUCUGAGAGGAAGGUCCCCCACACUGGUACUGAGACACGGACCAGACUCCUACGGGAGGCAGCAGUGAGGAAUAUUGGUCAAUGGACGAGAGUCUGAACCAGCCAAGCCGCGUGCAGGAAGAAUGUUCCCUAUGGAUUGUAAACUGCUUUUGCAGGGGAAUAAAGUGCAUCACGUGUGAUGUUUUGUAUGUACUCUGCGAAUAAGGAUCGGCUAACUCCGUGCCAGCCGCCGC
This 496-nucleotide ribosomal RNA is filed under the name uncultured bacterium. RNAcentral describes it as "bacterial SSU rRNA". It matches the Rfam family "Bacterial small subunit ribosomal RNA", at positions 29 to 518 of the family's 1533-position model. The record is from RNAcentral.